ACUGGGAGCUGCCUGCAGAGAUGGACAAGCAGGCUCUGAAGCAAUUCCCCAGAGCCUCACCAUUCCUGUUUACUGCUGACCCAGCCUAUUAGGAGCAAAUUACUUCCUGUGCUGCCUGUGGAGCGUGGCCUUGAGAGCCAGGGCAGGGAUGGAAACAGGGCUCUUCUCAGGAUUGAAUGAAGCAAAAGUCUUUGAGCCAGGCAUGGUAGCGCACACCUGUAAUCCCAGAUGCUCAGGAUGCUCAGGAACUCCAGAAGCUGAGGCAGGAGGAUCGCAAGUU
This 280-nucleotide long non-coding RNA is filed under the name Ictidomys tridecemlineatus (thirteen-lined ground squirrel). RNAcentral's name for it is "lncRNA (ENSSTOG00000034823.1)". Lineage: Eukaryota; Metazoa; Chordata; Mammalia; Rodentia; Sciuridae. The record is from RNAcentral.